RNAcentral lists this ribosomal RNA (253 nucleotides) under uncultured bacterium. RNAcentral's name for it is "partial 16S ribosomal RNA". It matches the Rfam family "Bacterial small subunit ribosomal RNA", at positions 524 to 776 of the family's 1533-position model. The record is from RNAcentral.
UACGUAGGUGGCGAUCGUUGUCCGGAAUUACUGGGUGUAAAGGGCGUGUAGGCGGGACUGCAAGUCAGAUGUGAAAUACCGGGGCUCAACCCCGGGGCUGCAUUUGAAACUGUAGUUCUUGAGUGCAGGAGAGGAAAGCGGAAUUCCUAGUGUAGCGGUGAAAUGCGUAGAUAUUAGGAGGAACACCAGUGGCGAAGGCGGCUUUCUGGACUGUAACUGACGCUGAGGCGCGAAAGCGUGGGGAGCAAACAGG